CCUACGGGCGGCAGCAGUGGGGAAUAUUGGACAAUGGGCGAAAGCCUGAUCCAGCCAUGCCGCGUGUGUGAAGAAGGCCUUCGGGUUGUAAAGCACUUUCAGUGGGGAAGAAAGCCUUGGGGCUAAUACCCUCGAGGAAGGACAUCACCCACAGAAGAAGCACCGGCUAACUCCGUGCCAGCAGCCGCGGUAAUACGGAGGGUGCGAGCGUUAAUCGGAAUUACUGGGCGUAAAGCGCGCGUAGGCGGUCUGAUAAGCCGGUUGUGAAAGCCCCGGGCGCAACCUGGGAACGGCAUCCGGAACUGUCAGGCUAGAGUGCAGGAGAGGAAGGUAGAAUUCCCGGUGUAGCGGUGAAAUGCGUAGAGAUCGGGAGGAAUACCAGUGGCGAAGGCGGCCUUCUGGACUGACACUGACGCUGAGGUGCGAAAGCGUGGGUAGCAAACAGGAUUAGAUACCCUUGUAGUC
Molecule: ribosomal RNA, 465 nt
Filed under: Vreelandella stevensii
Lineage: Bacteria; Pseudomonadati; Pseudomonadota; Gammaproteobacteria; Oceanospirillales; Halomonadaceae
Description: partial 16S ribosomal RNA
Rfam family: Bacterial small subunit ribosomal RNA
Source: RNAcentral